RNAcentral lists this ribosomal RNA (522 nucleotides) under Thalassiothrix longissima. Its description in RNAcentral is "eukaryotic LSU rRNA". It matches the Rfam family "Eukaryotic large subunit ribosomal RNA", at positions 25 to 672 of the family's 3401-position model. Lineage: Eukaryota; Bacillariophyta; Fragilariophyceae; Thalassionematales; Thalassionemataceae. The record is from RNAcentral.
CCGCUGAAUUUAAGCAUAUAAUUAAGCGGAGGAAAAGAAACUAACAAGGAUUCCCUCAGUAACGGCGAGUGAAGCGGGACGAGCUCAAACCAAAGAAUUGUGGUGUGUUGGCAGUAGUGCUCGGCCGAAGUCCCUUGGAACAGGGCAGCGCAGAGGGUGAGACUCCCGUUCGGCUGUGCAUUUGAGCUUGCAUGAGUGAGUCGUGUUGUUUGGGAUUGCAGCACAAAGCGGGUGGUAAAUUCCAUCUAAAGCUAAAUAUUGGUGGGAGACCGAUAGCGCACAAGUACCGUGAGGGAAAGAUGCAAAGAACUUUGAAAAGAGAGUUAAAGAGUACCUGAAAUUGCUGAAAGGUAAGCGAAGGAAACCAGUGCCCAGGUUGUGAUAUUUCUCUGUUCGCUUGCGGGCAGAGCGCUGUGACAGCCGCCGGUCAGCGUUGUUUGUGUCGGCUGUAAGUACCAGCGGUAACGAAUGACUCUGACGAAAUGGUUUUCUUUACCCCGUCUUGAAACACCGGACCAAGGA